Molecule: ribosomal RNA, 2623 nt
Filed under: Clostridioides difficile
Lineage: Bacteria; Bacillati; Bacillota; Clostridia; Peptostreptococcales; Peptostreptococcaceae
Description: bacterial LSU rRNA
Rfam family: Bacterial large subunit ribosomal RNA
Source: RNAcentral
AGCUUAAUGAGGGGAACUCAGGGAACUGAAACAUCUAAGUACCUGAAGGAAGAGAAAGAAAUUCGAUUCCGUAAGUAGCGGCGAGCGAACGCGGAUUAGCCCAAACCAAUAAAGUUUUCUUUAUUGGGGUUGCGGACAUAUCAUAACGAAGAGGUAUCGUAAUUGAAGAGGUUUGGAAAGACCCACCACAGAAGGUAAUAGUCCUGUAUGUUAAACGAGAAGACUUUAGAUAUGAUCCAGAGUACCACGGGACACGUGAAACCCUGUGGGAAGCAGGAGGGACCACCCUCCAAGGCUAAAUACUACCUAGUGACCGAUAGCGUAUAGUACCGUGAGGGAAAGGUGAAAAGAACCCCGGGAGGGGAGUGAAAUAGAACCUGAAACCCUGCACUUACAAGCUGUGGAAGCACAUUUCUUGUGUGACCGCGUACUUUUUGUAGAACGGGCCAACGAGUUACGUUAAGUAGCAAGGUUAAGCACUUAAGGUGCGGAGCCGUAGCGAAAGCGAGUUUUAACUGAGCGUUCAGUUACUUGACGUAGACCCGAAACCGGGCGACCUACCCAUGAGCAGGAUGAAGCGAAAGUAAAAUUUCGUGGAGGUCCGAACCCACGAGCGUUGAAAAGCUCGGGGAUGACUUGUGGGUAGCGGUGAAAUUCCAAUCGAGCCCGGAGAUAGCUGGUUCUCCCCGAAAUAGCUUUAGGGCUAGCCUCAAGGUGAGAGAUACGGAGGUAGAGCACUGAAUGUCCUAGGGGGUAUUGCACCUACCGAAGACUAUCAAACUCCGAAUGCCGUCAUCUUAUACUUGGGAGUCAGACUGUGGGUGAUAAGAUUCAUAGUCGAAAGGGCAACAGCCCAGAUCGUCAGCUAAGGUCCCUAAAUGUAAGUUAAGUGGUAAAGGAUGUGGGAUUGCACAGACAACCAGGAUGUUGGCUUAGAAGCAGCCACUCAUUCAAAGAGUGCGUAAUAGCUCACUGGUCGAGUGAUCCUGCGCCGAAGAUUUCCGGGGCUAAAACUUACUACCGAAGCUACGGCAUCAGUAAUGAUGGGUAGGGGAGCUUCCCAUACGGGUUGAAGCAUGACCGUAAGGACAUGUGGACAGUAUGGGAGUGAGAAUGUUGGCAUGAGUAGCGAGAUGUGGGUGAGAAUCCCACAGGCCGUAAACCCAAGGUUUCCAGGGGAAGGUUCGUCCGCCCUGGGUUAGUCGGGACCUAAGCUGAGGCCGAAAGGCGUAGGUGAUGGACAACAGGUUGAUAUUCCUGUACUACCGAUAACCGUUUGAGAGAAGGGAUGACACAGUAGGAUAAGCUAAGCACACUGUUGGUUAUGUGUGCCCAAGCAUUGAGGCAGUCAAAGUAGGCAAAUCCGCUUUGAUAAUGCUGGGAUGUGAUGGGGAGCGAAAUUUAGUAGCGAAGUAGCUGAUUUCACACUGUCAAGAAAAGUCUCUAUCGAGGUUAAAGGUACCCGUACCGCAAACCGACACAGGUGGGUGAGGAGAGUAUCCUAAGGCCAGCGAGAGAACUGUUGUUAAGGAACUCGGCAAAAUGACCCCGUAACUUAGGGAUAAGGGGUGCCACCAUCAGGUGGCCGCAGAGAAUAGGCCCAAGCGACUGUUUACCAAAAACAUAGGUUUCUGCUAAGUCGCAAGACGAUGUAUAGGAGCUGACGCCUGCCCGGUGCUGGAAGGUUAAGGGGAUCUGUUAGAGCAAUCGAAGCAGUGAACUUAAGCCCCAGUAAACGGCGGCCGUAACUAUAACGGUCCUAAGGUAGCGAAAUUCCUUGUCGGGUAAGUUCCGACCCGCACGAAAGGCGUAACGAUUUGGGCACUGUCUCAACAACAGACUCGGUGAAAUUGUAAUUCCGGUGAAGAUGCCGGAUACCUGCGACAGGACGGAAAGACCCCAUGGAGCUUUACUGUAGCUUGACAUUGGGUCUUGGUACUACAUGUACAGGAUAGGUGGGAGGCUUUGAAACCAGGACGCCAGUUUUGGCGGAGCCAUCCUUGGGAUACCACCCUUGUAGUACUGGGACUCUAACCAUAGGCCAUGAAUCUGGUCUUGGGACACUGUCAGGUGGGCAGUUUGACUGGGGCGGUCGCCUCCCAAAAGGUAACGGAGGCGCUCAAAGGUUCUCUCAGUACGGUCGGAAAUCGUACGUAGAGUGUAAAGGCAAAAGAGAGCUUGAUUGCAAGACAUACAGGUCGAGCAAGGAUGAAAAUCGGACUUAGUGAUCCGGUGGUUCUGCGUGGAAGGGCCAUCGCUCAACGGAUAAAAGCUACCCUGGGGAUAACAGGCUUAUCUCCCCCAAGAGUCCACAUCGACGGGGAGGUUUGGCACCUCGAUGUCGGCUCAUCACAUCCUGGGGCUGUAGUAGGUCCCAAGGGUUGGGCUGUUCGCCCAUUAAAGUGGUACGCGAGCUGGGUUCAGAACGUCGUGAGACAGUUCGGUCCCUAUCCGUCGCAGGCGUAGGAAAUUUGAGAAGACCUGUCCUUAGUACGAGAGGACCGGGAUGGACGUACCUCUGGUGUACCAGUUGUCCUGCCAAGGGCAUGGCUGGGUAGCUAUGUACGGAAUGGAUAAGCGCUGAAAGCAUCUAAGCGCGAAGCCAACUUCAAGAUAAGAUUUC